AGCCCUUAUAUCUGUUCCUUGAAUGUUGUUUCCAAAGCCCUUCCUUUUGAAGAAGCAACAUCAAAAAAGACAUCAAGGAUAGGCUUAUACCAGAUUGGCUUUUAUGUCUCAGAUUCGGAUGUUUAGAUGUAGCCAAAACUGAUAAAAAGGCAAAAGAAAGAGGUCUAGAUGCAAUUGAAACAUAUGUUUUCUUGAACACUCAUGAGCCUGCCAAACGUCAGUAUAACUUUGAAGGCAAUCUGGACUUGGUUAGGUUUAUGAAGGACGUGGAGAACGCUGGAUUAUUUUUCACAUUUUUCACAUUGGUCCUUAUGUUUGUGCAGAGUGGAAUUAUGGUUGCUGUAAAACCAAAGAAAGCACGGGUGUGGUUCUGACAGCACAUUCCGCGGGUUAUUGAAUAUCAACUACAUUCAUUGCUACAGUACAUCAACUGCAGAAGGAAGCGUGUUAAAAACACUGUUGCUACAGUGCUGGCGACCAUGAUCUGUGUUUCAUUAGUUUCGGAAAAACUCCGUCUAGUAACUCUGAUUGUCAGGUUUCUCUCCAACAUUAGAAACAUACAAAAUUUUAUGACACCCAUUGUGUGGGAAAUUUCUUAUUAAAAUAUAUAACUACAACAUUUUAUU
Dioscorea cayenensis subsp. rotundata (Guinea yam) is the source of this 626-nucleotide long non-coding RNA. RefSeq lists it as uncharacterized. NCBI's taxonomy places the organism in Eukaryota, Viridiplantae, Streptophyta, Magnoliopsida, Dioscoreales, Dioscoreaceae. The record is from RefSeq and is a predicted model, not a curated record. The transcript is spliced from 5 exons.